AUAGAGUUUGAUCCUGGCUCAGGACGAACGCUGGCGGCGUGCUUAACACAUGCAAGUCGAGCGGAAAGGCCACUUCGGUGGUACUCGAGCGGCGAACGGGUGAGUAACACGUGGGUAAUCUGCCUCUGGCUUCGGGAUAGCCACCGGAAACGGUGAUUAAUACCGGAUAUGACGCAUCACUGCAUGGUGUGUGUGUGGAAAGUUUUUUCGGCCAGGGAUGUGCUCGCGGCCUAUCAGCUUGUUGGUGGGGUAAUGGCCUACCAAGGCUUCGACGGGUAGCCGGCCUGAGAGGGUGACCGGCCACACUGGGACUGAGACACGGCCCAGACUCCUACGGGAGGCAGCAGUGGGGAAUAUUGGACAAUGGGCGGAAGCCUGAUCCAGCAACGCCGCGUGAGGGAUGACGGCCUUCGGGUUGUAAACCUCUUUCAGCACAGACGAAGCGCAAGUGACGGUAUGUGCAGAAGAAGGACCGGCCAACUACGUGCCAGCAGCCGCGGUAAUACGUAGGGUCCGAGCGUUGUCCGGAAUUAUUGGGCGUAAAGGGCUCGUAGGCGGUUUGUCGCGUCGGGAGUGAAAACACCGGGCUUAACUCGGUGCUUGCUUUCGAUACGGGCAGACUAGAGGCAUUCAGGGGAGAACGGAAUUCCUGGUGUAGCGGUGAAAUGCGCAGAUAUCAGGAGGAACACCGGUGGCGAAAGCGGUUCUCUGGGAAUGUCCUGACGCUGAGGAGCGAAAGUGUGGGGAGCGAACAGGAUUAGAUACCCUGGUAGUCCACACCGUAAACGUUGGGCGCUAGG
This 800-nucleotide ribosomal RNA is filed under the name uncultured Nocardioides sp. Its description in RNAcentral is "bacterial SSU rRNA". It matches the Rfam family "Bacterial small subunit ribosomal RNA", at positions 1 to 820 of the family's 1533-position model. Lineage: Bacteria; Bacillati; Actinomycetota; Actinomycetes; Propionibacteriales; Nocardioidaceae. The record is from RNAcentral.